This 553-nucleotide ribosomal RNA is filed under the name uncultured Glomus. Its description in RNAcentral is "SSU rRNA". It matches the Rfam family "Eukaryotic small subunit ribosomal RNA", at positions 550 to 1114 of the family's 1831-position model. Lineage: Eukaryota; Fungi; Glomeromycota; Glomeromycetes; Glomerales; Glomeraceae. The record is from RNAcentral.
UUGGAGGGCAAGUCUGGUGCCAGCAGCCGCGGUAAUUCCAGCUCCAAUAGCGUAUAUUAAAGUUGUUGCAGUUAAAAAGCUCGUAGUUGAAUUUCGGGAUCAAAUUGUUGGUCGUGCUUCAGUACGCACUGGCAUUAUUGGUUCUUACCUUCUGAAGAACCGCGAUGUCAUUAAUUUGGUGUCGUGGGGAAUCAGGACUGUUACUUUGAAAAAAUUAGAGUGUUUAAAGCAGGCGCACGCUUGAAUACAUUAGCAUGGAAUAAUGAAAUAGGACGUCUGAUUCUAUUUUGUUGGUUUCUAGGAUCGACGUAAUGAUUAAUAGGGAUAGUUGGGGGCAUUAGUAUUCAAUUGUCARAGGUGAAAUUCUUGGAUUUAUUGAAGACUAACUACUGCGAAAGCAUUUGCCAAGGAUGUUUUCAUUAAUCAAGAACGAAAGUUAGGGGAUCGAAGACGAUCAGAUACCGUCGUAGUCUUAACCAUAAACUAUGCCGACUAGGGAUCGGAUGAUGUUAAUUUUUUAAUGACUCAUUCGGCACCUUACGGGAAACCAAAG